This 1244-nucleotide long non-coding RNA is filed under the name Ursus maritimus (polar bear). RNAcentral describes it as "lncRNA (ENSUMAG00000013126.1)". The record is from RNAcentral. Lineage: Eukaryota; Metazoa; Chordata; Mammalia; Carnivora; Ursidae.
CUUAAAUGUACUCCCGUGUGGAGCGGAAGAAAUGCACCCGUCCCGCACCCUGCCUUGGGCCACAAAUUGGGGCAUUACAUGUGGUUCAACUCUAGAUUCACCAUCUCCUCUUGCUUCAGAGAAGUAAUCAAGCUAAUUCUUGGCCUAGUGCUAUCCUCCUUCGAUGUGUUUUUGCAUAAUUGAGAUCUUUCAUGGAAAAGUAUACAAUCUUCUGUCCUAGGAGAUCUUACCAGGCCUCUUGGCCCCAAAGGAGGCAAUCAGACCAAAAAUGAUUUCUCAGCGGUUGCCUGAGUGAAUCCUGUGAAUGAAAGGUCUUUGAGGAACAAAUUUACUCAUUUUCUAUUACUCAUGUCCUUGAUACCUUUGGUCAUUGCCCAGACUAUUCAUUAGAAAUUUCUGGCAACUGUUGGAAAGUCUGGAACUUCUCCUUUGCACAUGAGAGGCAGCCCCUGGGUGUUGAUCUCCCUGUGCCACCUUCCUCCAAUGUCAAAGACUUGGCUGCUUUUUUGUUCUGGGGUUUACGUAUCAGGCACCCAGAAGAUUAGGUGGAAAUGACCCAGUCACCCAAGGGUGCUGAAGGGCACAGAACUGUAGCUGGGGCCUGUUCCCAGGAUGGGCAGGUUAUGGGAUUGUGUGGGUAGCAUCUUAUCCUUCUCUCUGUCCCUCUGUACAGGGUGAACUGAAUUCAUCACAGAGCGGGGGAGCCCUGUCCGCGGCAGCCUGCACGGUUCAGUUAACCUGUGAGGCAGGUCCUGUCCUCAGCUGGUCCCAGGAAAACCACAUCUUCCAAGACUCAGCCUCCAGUGAAAAUUCUUUUAGUGAGUUUGGUUUGUAUUUUCUACUUCUAGACUACAUUUCUUUUUUAUAGCCAAAAUAUAAUCAGGAAAUAUGUAAUGAGGAAAUAUCUUGCUCUCCCUGAAGCAAGACUCGAGUUGGGGAGAUUGUCUUUCAUCCUGUUUAGGUUCCAUGAAUCCCCACGGUGGCUCCGGAGUCAGCCAGCUUGCAAAGACCCGCUGAUGGCAUCAGGCUGAUACUAAAGCUGAAAAGAACAACAGGGUGUCGAUGUUUGGAGGACAUUCUUAUCCAGGAAAAAAGACAUUUGUACUUUGGUCCUGGUUUUGGGUAACUUCAGAUAAUGCUGUUUUGCUUACAGCUCAGGCCCUUCUACAGGAUGACCACCCUUUAAAAACAUUUUCUUAAGAGAUGAGGAUUCCAGUAAUAAAGAGCAAAACACGAAAAGUACA